This 467-nucleotide ribosomal RNA is filed under the name uncultured bacterium. Its description in RNAcentral is "partial 16S ribosomal RNA". It matches the Rfam family "Bacterial small subunit ribosomal RNA", at positions 28 to 506 of the family's 1533-position model. The record is from RNAcentral.
GACGAACGCUGGCGGCGUGCUUAACACAUGCAAGUCGAACGGAAAGGCCCUGCUUUUGUGGGGUGCUCGAGUGGCGAACGGGUGAGUAACACGUGAGUAACCUGCCCUUGACUUUGGGAUAACUUCAGGAAACUGGGGCUAAUACCGGAUAGGAGCUCCUGCUGCAUGGUGGGGGUUGGAAAGUUUCGGCGGUUGGGGAUGGACUCGCGGCUUAUCAGCUUGUUGGUGGGGUAGUGGCUUACCAAGGCUUUGACGGGUAGCCGGCCUGAGAGGGUGACCGGCCACAUUGGGGCUGAGAUACGGCCCAGACUCCUACGGGAGGCAGCAGUGGGGAAUAUUGCACAAUGGGCGGAAGCCUGAUGCAGCAACGCCGCGUGCGGGAUGACGGCCUUCGGGUUGUAAACCGCUUUCGCCUGUGACGAAGCGUGAGUGACGGUAAUGGGGAAAGGAGCACCGGCUAACUACGU